CAGCAGCCGCGGGAAUACAGAGGGUGCGAGCGUUAAUCGGAUUUACUGGGCGUAAAGCGUGCGUAGGCGGCUAAUUGAGUCGGAUGUGAAAUCCCCGAGCUUAACUUGGGAAUUGCAUUCGAUACUGGUUAGCUAGAGUGUGGGAGAGGAUGGUAGAAUUCCAGGUGUAGCGGUGAAAUGCGUAGAGAUCUGGAGGAAUACCGAUGGCGAAGGCAGCCAUCUGGCCUAACACUGACGCUGAGGUACGAAAGCAUGGGGAGCAAACAGGAUUAGAUACCCCGGUAGUCCCUGUCUCUUAUAC
Molecule: ribosomal RNA, 301 nt
Filed under: uncultured bacterium
Lineage: Bacteria
Description: partial 16S ribosomal RNA
Rfam family: Bacterial small subunit ribosomal RNA
Source: RNAcentral